Molecule: ribosomal RNA, 142 nt
Filed under: Drosophila bizonata
Lineage: Eukaryota; Metazoa; Arthropoda; Insecta; Diptera; Drosophilidae
Description: partial 28S ribosomal RNA
Source: RNAcentral
AGAUGGCCUCAUUUAAGAAGGACUUAAAUCGUUAAUUUCUCAUACUAGAAUAUUGAUGUUCCAUACACUGCAUCUCACAUUUGCCAUAUAGACAAAGUGACUUAGUGCUGAACUGAUUUCUUUUCGCUCGCCGCUACUAAGA